RNAcentral lists this ribosomal RNA (195 nucleotides) under uncultured bacterium. Its description in RNAcentral is "partial 16S ribosomal RNA". It matches the Rfam family "Bacterial small subunit ribosomal RNA", at positions 338 to 524 of the family's 1533-position model. The record is from RNAcentral.
CCUACGGGAGGCAGCAGUAGGGAAUCUUCCGCAAUGGACGAAAGUCUGACGGAGCAACGCCGCGUGAGUGAUGAAGGUUUUCGGAUCGUAAAGCUCUGUUGUUAGGGAAGAACAAGUAUCGUUCAAAUAGGGCGGUACCUUGACGGUACCUAACCAGAAAGCCACGGCUAACUACGUGCCAGCAGCCGCGGUAAU